Molecule: unclassified non-coding RNA, 418 nt
Filed under: Hevea brasiliensis (rubber tree)
Lineage: Eukaryota; Viridiplantae; Streptophyta; Magnoliopsida; Malpighiales; Euphorbiaceae
Source: RNAcentral
GUUUGUUCUAGUUCAUUUAGUCUUGCAGGUUUAUGAAUCCAGUGAUGCAUGAUUUGACGAGGAAGCUGGUGGUGGUGGCGGCAUGUGAGAUGUAGACAACAGGGCUAGCUUGGAAGAUGCUAGUAAGAUGUAAAAGAACACCAUUAUUGCUUAUCCUCUUCUCUUAUUGGUACCAUUUUACUGCAUCUUGUGAAGGUUCUGACGUUUCGACCCUGGUUGGACUACCUGGAGGCUUUUGGGAUGCGAUUGCGAAGAGAAGAUUCUUCGAGUAUGAUCAAGUGCAAAUACCUUAACACGGUUGUCAUUUUGCUUCAAAGAAGUUUCUCUAGCGCUCCUCUGAGUGUUUGAGUUUGUUCUGAGAGCUAAAAGGCUAGCCUGGUGAUGGUGGCGAUAUUGAGAAGUUCUGCACAAUGGAUCG